GAUUAACGCUGGCGGCGUGCAUAACACAUGCAAGUCGAACGAUGAAACUUAAAUGAUUUCUUCGGAAUGAACUUAAGUGGAUUAGUGGCGGACGGGUGAGUAACGCGUGAGUAACCUGCCUUACACAAGGGGAUAGCCGUUGGAAACGACGAAUAAUACCCUAUGAAACUAUCACUUCGCAUGAAGCGAUAGUCAAAGUGUUAGCGGUGUAAGAUGGACUUGCGUCUGAUUAGCUAGUUGGUGAGAAAAAAGCCCACCAAGGCAACGAUCAGUAGCCGGCUUGAGAGAGUGUACGGCCACAUUGGGACUGAGACACGGCCCAGACUCCUACGGGAGGCAGCAGUGGGGAAUUUUGCACAAUGGGGAAACCCUGAUGCAGCGACGCCGCGUGAUUUAGAAGGCCUUCGGGUUGUAAAAAUCUUUUGUAUAGGAAGAAAAUGACAGUACUAUACGAAUAAGGUCCGGCUAAUUACGUG
This 476-nucleotide ribosomal RNA is filed under the name uncultured bacterium. RNAcentral describes it as "partial 16S ribosomal RNA". It matches the Rfam family "Bacterial small subunit ribosomal RNA", at positions 28 to 507 of the family's 1533-position model. The record is from RNAcentral.